AAGACUAUACUUCCAGGGAUCAUUUCUACAGUUUGUGACUAUGGAAGUUUCUCUGAUUAUGUAGAGCACAGCUGCUACUCAGGCAAGUCAAG
Molecule: small nucleolar RNA, 92 nt
Filed under: Ochotona princeps (American pika)
Lineage: Eukaryota; Metazoa; Chordata; Mammalia; Lagomorpha; Ochotonidae
Description: Small nucleolar RNA U3 (ENSOPRG00000022456.1)
Rfam family: Small nucleolar RNA U3
About the family: Small nucleolar RNAs (snoRNAs) are involved in the processing and modification of rRNA in the nucleolus. There are two main classes of snoRNAs: the box C/D class, and the box H/ACA class.
Source: RNAcentral